AUUGAACGCUGGCGGCAGGCCUAACACAUGCAAGUCGAGCGAGCGGCGGACGGGUGAGUAAUGUCUGGGAAACUGCCUGAUGGAGGGGGAUAACUACUGGAAACGGUAGCUAAUACCGCAUACCAUAGGAUGAGCCCCAGUGGGAUUAGGUAGUUGGUGGGGUAAUGGCCUACCAAGCCGACGAUCUCUAGCUGGUCUGAGAGGAUGACCAGCCAAACCGGGACUGAGACACGGCCCAGACUCCUACGGGAGGCAGCAGUGGGGAAUUUUGGACAAUGGGCGCAAGCCUGAUCCAGCCAUGCCGCGUGUGUGAAGAAGGUCUUCGGAUUGUAAAGCACUUUAAGUUGGGAGGCGUUACCAACAGAAUAAGCACCGGCUAACUUCGUGCCAGCAGCCGCGGUAAUUC
Molecule: ribosomal RNA, 406 nt
Filed under: uncultured bacterium
Lineage: Bacteria
Description: partial 16S ribosomal RNA
Rfam family: Bacterial small subunit ribosomal RNA
Source: RNAcentral